RNAcentral lists this ribosomal RNA (109 nucleotides) under Prevotella sp. oral taxon 376. Lineage: Bacteria; Pseudomonadati; Bacteroidota; Bacteroidia; Bacteroidales; Prevotellaceae. The record is from RNAcentral.
AAUGGUAGUUAUCCCGUAAGUGUACACCUCUUCCCAUUCCGAACAGAGAAGUUAAGCCUUAUUGCACCAAUGGUACUACAUAAAGUGGAAGAGUAGGUCGCUGCCAACG